Long non-coding RNA from Heterocephalus glaber (naked mole-rat), 683 nucleotides. NCBI's taxonomy places the organism in Eukaryota, Metazoa, Chordata, Mammalia, Rodentia, Bathyergidae. The record is from Ensembl.
GGAUGAAUCCGCAAAUGAGUACAGAACCGUCACGAUCAAUCUAAGAGCCCUGCCUCCGAGCACAUGAGCGUUUGGGGGGCCAUCCUAGAUCUAAACCCUAACAUCGCCUCUCAGCUGCAUGAUGGUGGUCUUCUGUUGGACAUUUUACCUGCCUGACACAAAGCACAGACAAGAAUCAUCCAUUCGGUCUGGUACUGCUCUGGGUGCUUGGUUGACGUCAAUGAACAAAAGAGAAAAAGAGUCCAUCCUUGAUGAUCUAUCACUUUGGAAGGAAGAGAUUAACAAUACCUGCUAGAGAGAUGAACCCCACCUCCCAGAAGUUCUGCCACCUCCCAGUUGCAUCCCAGGCUGGCAACACACGCCUCUGGGGGACAUUCAAGAUUCACGCUAUAUCACCUGAUCUCCCUGGCAUCUCCGCUCUUCCCUCGACAAUAACCCCAAAUUGCACUGAUAUGAGCUGGAAAAAGGUGAGCAGGCCUCCUCUGCCAUGUGCUCCACCCACAGUGUCCUGUGCUGCCACAGGUCCAAAGCAAUAGGACCAAGGAACCAUAGACUGAAACCUUGGAAACCAGAAGACAAAAUGAAGCAUUUUGUCACAGUGCUGGGAAGUGGACACAAGUACCUAUAUAAGGUGAUGGACAUGUUCAGUAGCCCGAUCAGGGUGACCAUUCCUAUAGAGAGAG